Molecule: transfer RNA, 73 nt
Filed under: Acidobacteriota bacterium
Lineage: Bacteria; Pseudomonadati; Acidobacteriota
Also listed under: 2 other names
Description: Acidobacteria bacterium (soil metagenome) tRNA-Val
Rfam family: tRNA
About the family: Transfer RNA (tRNA) molecules are approximately 80 nucleotides in length. Their secondary structure includes four short double-helical elements and three loops (D, anti-codon, and T loops).
Source: RNAcentral
GCCCGCUUAGCUCAGUUGGUAGAGCGCACGCCUCACACGCGUGAAGUCGAAGGUUCGAGUCCUUCAGCGGGCA